Molecule: long non-coding RNA, 603 nt
Organism: Equus quagga
Lineage: Eukaryota; Metazoa; Chordata; Mammalia; Perissodactyla; Equidae
Exons: 4
Source: RefSeq, a predicted model, not a curated record
GUGGGCAGUGGUGGCUGUCACAUCAUAUUCCCAUGUGCGUACAAGGGAAUUACAAUCUCUGAAAAGGUUCCUCAAGGAAAAACUCUGUGAAUAAAACUCAGUGACAAGAUCAUCAUCCCAGACUCCUGGUUAUUGCUGUGUAUAGUCCUUUAACUACACCAGAGUGAUGCUGAGAACCUCAGUCUCUUCUACCUGGGCGUCCCUCUGCUAUUUAGGAUGAAAUCUUCCUUGCAAGGCAGGGGUUGUAAACUCAAAGAACAUACAGGAACCGGGCAAGAAGGUGCUGAUCUGAAAGAGUCAGAGCCCUCUCUGUCUUCUCUUUACCCACUUUGAAGCACAUAGUUCCGCUGUGUAAGUAAAACAACAAGCUAAGUGUUAGCAAUUCAUGCCAUUGGACCUUCGUUCAUAGUGGCAGGGAUGGCCACUCUGCAAAACUGGAGAGCACGUGUCCAUUGAGUGUGUUUUCCAACUACUAGCCACCAGGUUGGCUACCUGGCUCCUUGCUUUGGGGACACAUGGUGUCCAUCUGCCAUAGCCGCCAAUUUUUCAAGAAAUUCUGAAAUGUGAUGGGAAAUCUCUGUAUGAAUAAAUGUUGGAAACUGU